UGAAUUGACGGGGAGCACCACAACGGGUGGAGCUUGCGGUUUAAUUGGAUUCAACGCCGGAAAUCUUACCGGGACCGACAGCAAUAUGAAGGCCAGGCUGAAGACUUUGCCGGAUUAGCUGAGAGGUGGUGCAUGGCCAUCGUCAGUUCGUACUGUGAAGCAUCCUGUUAAGUCAGGCAACGAGCGAGACCCACGCCCACAGUUGCCAGCGUACUCUCCGGAGUGACGGGUACACUGUGGGACCGCCGCUGCUAAAGCGGAGGAAGGAAUGGGCAACGGUAGGUCAGUAUGCCCCGAAUAUCCCGGGCUACACGCGAGCUACAAUGGUUGGUACAAUGGGUAUCUACCCCGAAAGGGGACGGAAAUCUCCUAAAACCAAUCUUAGUUCGGAUUGAGGGCUGCAACUCGCCCUCAUGAAGCUGGAAUCCGUAGUAAUCGCGUUUCAACAGAACGCGGUGAAUACGUCCCUGCUCCGGUU
This 478-nucleotide ribosomal RNA is filed under the name uncultured Methanosaeta sp. RNAcentral's name for it is "bacterial SSU rRNA". It matches the Rfam family "Archaeal small subunit ribosomal RNA", at positions 862 to 1341 of the family's 1478-position model. Lineage: Archaea; Methanobacteriati; Methanobacteriota; Methanomicrobia; Methanotrichales; Methanotrichaceae. The record is from RNAcentral.